This 65-nucleotide transfer RNA is filed under the name Dipodomys ordii (Ord's kangaroo rat). It matches the Rfam family "tRNA". From Rfam's summary of the family: Transfer RNA (tRNA) molecules are approximately 80 nucleotides in length. Their secondary structure includes four short double-helical elements and three loops (D, anti-codon, and T loops). The record is from Rfam by way of RNAcentral. Lineage: Eukaryota; Metazoa; Chordata; Mammalia; Rodentia; Heteromyidae.
GGUGGCUCAGUGGUAGAGUGCUUGCCUUCCAUGCAUGAGGUCCUAGGUUCAAUUCCUCAGCACCA